CCUACGGGAGGCAGCAGUGGGGAAUUUUGGACAAUGGGCGCAAGCCUGAUCCAGCAAUGCCGCGUGAGUGAAGAAGGCCUUCGGGUUGUAAAGCUCUUUUGUCAGGGAAGAAACGGUGGGGGCUAAUAUCUCCUACUAAUGACGGUACCUGAAGAAUAAGCACCGGCUAACUACGUGCCAGCAGCCGCGGUAAUACGUAGGGUGCAAGCGUUAAUCGGAAUUACUGGGCGUAAAGCGUGCGCAGGCGGUUUUGUAAGUCUGUCGUGAAAGCCCCGGGCUCAACCUGGGAAUUGCGAUGGAGACUGCAAGGCUUGAAUCUGGCAGAGGGGGGUAGAAUUCCACGUGUAGCAGUGAAAUGCGUAGAGAUGUGGAGGAACACCGAUGGCGAAGGCAGCCCCCUGGGUCAAGAUUGACGCUCAUGCACGAAAGCGUGGGGAGCAAACAGGAUUAGAUACCCUGGUAGUCCACGCCCUAAACGAUGUCUACUAGUUGUCGGGUUUUAAUUAACUUGGUAACGCAGCUAACGCGUGAAGUAGACCGCCUGGGGAUACGGUCGCAAGAUUAAAACNCAAAGGAUUGACCGGNUGAGACGNGCGAGACGACGACGAGGGAGGAGG
RNAcentral lists this ribosomal RNA (617 nucleotides) under uncultured bacterium. Its description in RNAcentral is "bacterial SSU rRNA". It matches the Rfam family "Bacterial small subunit ribosomal RNA", at positions 338 to 948 of the family's 1533-position model. The record is from RNAcentral.